Molecule: transfer RNA, 71 nt
Filed under: Clavelina oblonga
Lineage: Eukaryota; Metazoa; Chordata; Ascidiacea; Aplousobranchia; Clavelinidae
Description: transfer RNA-Leu (UUR)
Source: RNAcentral
ACUAAUGUGGCGGAAGAGUACGCGUAAAAGCUAAGUUUUUAUAAUAAGUAUAUAACAAUAUUUCAUUAGUA